UGCCUCUACUCUAGGCCUUUCGAUUUGCGCGGGCGGGCGUGCCUGCCGGGAGGAGGGAGGGAGGGAGCUCUCGCGGCAGCCGACGAUGGAGGAACUGGAGCAGGGCCUGUUGAUGCAGCCAUGGGCAUGGCUACAGCUUGCCGAGAACUCCCUCUUGGCCAAGGCUUUUAUCACCAAGCAGGGAUAUGCCUUGCUGGUUUCGGAUCUUCAACAGGUGUGGCAUGAACAGGUGGACACUAGUGUGGUCAGCCAGCGAGCCAAGGAGCUGAACAAGCGGCUGACUGCUCCCCCUGCAGCUUUUCUCUGUCAUUUGGAUAAUCUGCUUCGCCCAUUGUUGAAGGACACUGCUCACCCUAGUGAAGCUACCUUCUCCUGUGAAUGUGGGGCAGAGGAACUGAUUUUACGGGUGCGGAGUGAGCUGUCUGGUCUCCCCUUCUAUUGGAAUUUCCACUGCAUCCUAGCUAGUCCUUCCCUGGUCUCCCAACAUUUGAUUCGUCCUCUGAUGGGCAUGAGUCUGGCAUUGCAGUGCCAAGUGAGGGAGCUAGCAACAUUGCUUCGUAUGAAAGAUCUAGAGAUCCAGGACUACCAGGAGAGUGGGGCUACACUGAGCCGAGAUCGAUUGAAGACGGAGCCAUUUGAAGAAAAUUCCUUCUUGGAACAAUUUAUGGUAGAGAAACUACCAGCGGCAUGCAGCAUUGGUGAUGGAAGGCCCUUUGUCCUGAAUCUGCAGAGUCUCUAUGUGGCAGUCACCAAACAAGAGGUCCAAGUGGGACAGAAGCAUCAAGACACUGGAGAUCCUCAGACCUCAAGCAGUACCUUCCUUCAAGGAACUGAUAGCCAGUUGCUGAACCAGCCAGAACAACCGGUCUCCUCAGCACCAGCCCUCUCAGCGCCACAGAAAGAGCCCACAGGUACUUCAGGCCCUAUUCAGAGACCUCAGCUGUCAAAGCUCAAGAGGAAGAAGCCAAGGGGUCUCUUCAGUUAACCUGGUGUUGUCUCAGCUGCUGAGGACGGCCUUGGAGAAUAAUAGCUUCUAAGCUUCUCCUUCAAAGGAGCUCACAUGACAGAAACAUCUCUAAAACAGGGUUAUACAGUCAGAAUCCACUAUAAGGGCAAGAGAACUGAAGUUCAUGUUGACAGGCUGCCUGAAUGAGGACUGUUAACCAAGGGAAGCUUGGCUCCAACCCGCUGGGCAUUGGCCUUCCCUAUUCAAGUGGAAGCCAGUCUCUGAGAAUCUCAUGCCCUCCUCUCUUUUGGUGGAGGUUCUCUAGACCCAGGACCCUGUCAUGGAAUUUAGGCAGGUCAGCAAAAAGGCACGACAUGCUCAGGAAGCUGUGGCUAUCUUUCUUAAGAGUCUCUAGCCAGUCCCAGAUGCUCCUCAGAGACCCACUUCUCUCUUUAGUGUGGAAUAAAAAGCACUCACACUCCCCUGCUUUUGAGAUCACUUAUUCUGUGAAACUCAUAACCCACCUCACUUCACUGGGCUUCACCUCAUUGUUAUCUCUGGAUGAGUCUGUGCCCUCAGUCCAGGACUUCAGAUUAUUCUUCUUUGCUAAAGCCUAAGCUAAGCCUCCAUUCAGAAACUUUGGUCUCAAGAACUCUCUUCAUGGUGGGCACCAGACAGACAAAUGACUGCUGCUCUCCUAUGCCAAAGUUGGAUAUGUUUUUCUCUUUGUUUCCAAGGCGUAGACAACAGGUUAAACCACAGUGUGGGAUGAAAUUACAAAGAACUUCAAGCACUAGGGCUGAAGUAGGUUCCCACUGGAGUGGAAGAAAAAGGAAUUUUUACUUUCUUGUUCUCCACUUCACUUCAAAUAACAUGUAACUAGAAGAACUAGGAAAGAUAGGAAAAGAUGACAGGAACAGGAAAUGACCAUAGGAGUUCCCAGGGACAACAGAAUGGGCCUCUAGAACUAAUAGUGCCUAGUAGGAAAAAAUGUACAGGCUGCAAGAGAUAGACAGGGUCUUAGGAGAGUCAACUCUUCAGCACCCCAGGAUUAGCAGAAUCCCUUGACCUUCUCUGCUGGGUUUUCCUCUGUAGGUAAGACCAUCUGAAACUUUACCCUGGAGAGACAGGAACAAAAGUAGAACUCGUUCAAAAGAACUGUUAGGUAGAGGAAGGGGUAGGAGCAUAAUACAGAGGCCCUCUCUGGUUUAUUUAUUUUGAUGGUCAAAUACCUCCGCAUUCAUAUGUCCUCUCUAGCUGGGAUUGGUGUUUCUGUCCUGAUGUCAAGUCAUGGGGAGAGGAUGAUCAAACAAUAAUAAAAUAAUUAUUAUAAUAUGAACAAUAAUAAUAAACAACUAAUAUACACCUAACAUUGAAUCCUCACUACCUCAUAUCAGGAAGACACUGCUAACCCACUAGGAAAUGGAGUCUUGAAGUGAUUAAGUGACAUAUUAAAGGUAAUAAGGGAAAGCCAGAAUUUGAACCCAGAUAGCAUUAUUAUAUACAUUAAUGAAAGCAUUUCCCAAAAGGAUAUCAGGUCUUUCUUUCCAGUCUUCUACUGGAACCACCAUUAUCCUAUGUUACUGCCUCCUUUUACUAGGAUGCUGUACUCCCUGUGGGCUCUUCAAGGCAGGUGCCCUUGAAGACUCCAGGACUUACUCCCAGGCCUUUUCCUGGUAGUAGAGUCUAAAAGCUCCACCAGCUCAUUCCCAGUUACUGUUGAUAACUUUUCCUUACCACUAGACCACAGUCCCCCGGGGUGUGCCCUGUGGCCCUGAUGGUCAUCAAAGUGAAUUGGGAACUGUGUAAAAACAGUGUGUCAGCUGGCUCAGUUUCUGCUUUAGUUUCUUUUCAGCACAAUUUAAAUAGCCAGAUUUCAGUGUCUAUGGGAUGUAAGACCAUAUAGAAAAUGGAAAGGCCUCCCCAGCAAGCUUGGAGAGAAUAUGGGUUCUUCACCCUGGAUACUCCCUGUGCUCUCAGAACACAGUCUCAAGAGCAGGCAUUUUUAAUCAUAGGGGACCCAGAGGCCUGUGAGUCCCCAAAAAUUGUAGGUAAAAUCCUAAACGCAUAACUUUGUUCAUGUUCUCAAAAGAAUGUGUGACUUUUUAAAAAGGUUAGAGUACGCCUAGGUACCUUCCCUCCACUGCCUCCUUUAUUCCCAAGGGUCGCUGCCUCCACCAGGGUAUUGCUUAAAUAGGUUGUCAGAGAAACAUUGCUGCCAGAGGCCCUGACUCAGGCAUUCUUGCCCUGAAGCCCUUACCCCUCAAAGCUAGGGGUGGUGGUUGAGAAUCAUUCAUCCCAAGGCAACUCCAGGGAAAUCCCUGCUUUGACAAAUUGGCCUAGCCAGGCUGUAUUCCAGCCCUGCCCCCUGGUUUGGGCCCCUCCCUGAGGCCCCCAGCCUGGCCCAACCCCCACUCCAAUGCACAUAAAAGGGUCGAAUUCUCGUGGCUGCUCCAUAAAUUUUAUUCCGUAAAUAUUAGUUUUCCCUGUGUUUAAUAAAGCAGUGGCCCACCUCCCCGCCUACCCGCCCGCUCCCCGGGGCCGGGGCUGGGGCCAGGGGCUGGCUGGUGGGAGAAGGGACUCUUUCAAUUGCUUUGGAGUAUUUUUAGAAAAAAAAAUAAUAUAAGGUGGUUUACACGAGCAAGCCAGCAAACCAGGAGCAGGACUUGGGACCUCGAGGAAGUUCCUGCAGGAAUUUGACCUAAAAAGUAGAGAAAUAGCGCCACCUAGGUUGCAAGGCCUACUUGGCCUUGCUGGCUGGUCCCCCCACAGUCAGCUAGGACAGUCAUUCUUUGCUGGGAGAGAAAGUCUCAUCCCUUUGCACUUUACCAGAGUAGCACCUCCUUUUCUCAUGCCUCACUGAGGGCUUUCCCAGCAACACUUAAAUGCAGAGCUCAAGCUGCGUCCUAGAAAAUCCCACCAGGGUCAUUCUCUUCUCCUGUCACCAGGCAGCCAGUCUCCCAGAUCAAGGAGUGUUUCCAAAGGAUAGUACAGUCAUCGAGAAGGGAGGAAGAAACUCUCUAGUCUCCAUCUUCCCCUGAGUUCCCAGGAGCUAGCCCUGGAAUUCCUGGUGUAUUCGGAGGCCAAGAGUGAGACCUGUGGUCUUGCGCUCUGGGCUGGGAAAGCGUCCCCUGGCUCCUACUAGGAUCCUGGGCCGUGAGCCUCCAGUCAGCAAUGAGGGGAGGGGAGAUGCUUGCAUCUCCUGAGUACUCAGCCCUACUGCUACUCGUUUUUAUCCUGUGGUACGUUUGGACUCCCUUUUCUUUCCUUCCUGUUCACUUAAACCUCCCAUUUCCCAAGCCUUUACUACCUGCUCCUUAGACCAGGUUUGGUGGGAGAUAAGCAGGAGCCCCUGUCUCCCCUCUGCACAGAGACGGCGGGAGGAGUGGGGAAUGGAAAAGGCUGUGCCUCUCCUCCUGGUUCUGGGUUUGGUCUCAUUCCUCACAUUGUCACCAGAGACACUUCUCUCCACUUACUCUGUUCCUCAUUUUCUCCUACUUGCAAAACUAGGAAGAUUUGCUUCAGAGAAUAUAGGGGCAACCUAAAUGCUCUCGAUGACCCUUCCUUGUCAUAUGCAAUAAAUUUGCUCUCUUCAAAAUAGAGCCGGCUUAGAAGGCAGAAGAAGAAAUAUAAAGGGGAGAGAAGAAAGUGAUUUUUAUCAAUAGACCCUGGACUUGGAUUUGAAGAGCCCUGGUGAGGCUUUGUCACUGCAACUUGCUCCUAAUGAUGGGGUCAAGAGAUGGCCCAGGCCAUUGAGGCCUCCAGAAUGGCACACAGCCACUCUCGAGUUUUACUGCUGGCAGAGCCUGUCAAUGACCAGAAAAAGAGCCAGGCUUUGUUUAAUAGGUCUGUUUAAUAGGACUGGCCCAAUUCAAAAGUCACUCUAUAUCUACUGAACAGCUAAGAACAAAGGCAGCCAAGAAAUGACCAAGGCACUUAGGCCCUGCUUGGAUUCAAAGUCUCCAGGUCACUGCUGUAGAAACCAUGGUGCUUCUAAUCUCCACCCUCUUCUGCCCCUUCCUCCACUGAAGAUUGGACUGAUGCCAAUGUAAGUUUGAGAUUCAGAUCUCGAAGCACCAUUGUGUCCUGAGAAAAGAGUAUAUAGUUUUGGAGUAGAGAAGCUCUGGAUUCAAAUUUUAGCUGUGGAACUGGCUGUGGGACCGCAGGCAACUUACUUUACUUUUGGAGCUUGGAGUUGUAGAUUUGUACAAUGAGAAUAAUGAUUGCAGUGCACAGAGGGUUAUUGUGGAGAUUUUAAUUACUGUGUAAAGCAUCUGGCACAGAGAAAAGGCUUGAUAGAUGCUACUCUCCAUCUGCCUCUUCCAGUACACACUGCUCCAAAGUUAUCCUGGCAGCGGAGGGUCUAGUCUUGAUGAAGCCCAAUGUCAGCCAAGGAGGCAGCCGUGCAGAGGCACACCUGAUGCCAAGCUAGAGCGGCACUUGCAGCACAUGCACUGCCUGUCUCAUGGCCGUCAGGUCUUUACCACAUUUGUAUCCAAUAGGAAAAGAGUCACAGUUCAGAGAGGAGCAAUGAGAGGAUGAAUGGCAAAACUAAUAAAAUGGUUAUAAAUUAAAACCUCUGAGAGAACUUGUCUUUCACUUGGAGAAAAGAAAAUUCAAAGUGAAUUUAACAACUCUUCAAGACCAUACCCAUGGUUUAAUAAGCAGAAUAAUAGCCCUAAUCACUAAGGCCAGAAAAUGAGGAAAGUGGUUGAAUUUACAUUAGAGAGAGAGGGAGAAAGAUUGAACUUAAGACAAAACUUCUCUAGAAGAUAAUUAUUAAACACUGGGAAGGGUGACCUCGGAAGUCUAUAGGAUUUUCUUUUUUGGAGCUCUGUAAUAACAGAGAGCCCUGUUUGUCUGGUCUGGAAAAGGUAUUGACCCUGCCCCAGAAAUCUGAGGUAGGGGGAACAGCAGGGAAAGAGGAUGGAGAAUAUUGCAGGGAUAGUUCUUGAGCCCUGGAAAGUACACGUUAAAGCACUUGGAAAGCUUUCAAGAAAAAGAAGCAACAUUAAUCUAUGACUAAGAAACAAGAGUCUCAAUGCUAAUGUAAGAAAGAACAUGGGGGGUGGGGAGGAAGUGCAGGCAAAGGGGAGAAAAGGAGGAAAUCCCUGUGUUUCCAAGUCACAGGUGCCACUCCACUCCUGGUGGACCCAUCCUAAAUUUCCUUCUGUGGACCUCAGUUUCCUUUUCUGUACUAUCAAGUGCUUGGAUUAAACACUCUCUUUGAGUCCCUUCCAAUCCUGAAUUUAUAUUCACAAAACUGAUCCAGAGAGUGUAAGUAAAUCUGUGAAAAGCUCCCCCAGCCCCAGACACAAGUUGUGCUGAUGGGUGAGUCCUGCACAGAGAGACGGGCUGAUGCAUCAGCACUGGUGAAGCCUGAGGCUGGGUCAGCCCCAUGGCCUUCAAUCACUGCUUCUUGGCCAUGGCCAAGUUGCUUAUCUUCUCUGAACUUCAGUAUUUUCAUUUGUAAAAUGUGGGUAAUAAUAGCU
Non-coding RNA from Microcebus murinus (gray mouse lemur), 6438 nucleotides. The record is from RefSeq and is a predicted model, not a curated record. NCBI's taxonomy places the organism in Eukaryota, Metazoa, Chordata, Mammalia, Primates, Cheirogaleidae.